RNAcentral lists this ribosomal RNA (426 nucleotides) under uncultured bacterium. RNAcentral's name for it is "bacterial SSU rRNA". It matches the Rfam family "Bacterial small subunit ribosomal RNA", at positions 354 to 796 of the family's 1533-position model. The record is from RNAcentral.
GUGAGGAAUUUUCCGCAAUGGGCGAAAGCCUGACGGAGCAAUGCCGCGUGAAGGAUGAAGGCCUAUGGGUUGUAAACUUCUUUUCUCAGAAAAGAAUUAUGACGGUAUCUGAGGAAUAAGCAUCGGCUAACUCUGUGCCAGCAGCCGCGGUAAGACAGAGGAUGCAAGCGUUAUCCGGAAUGAUUGGUCGUAAAGCGUCUGUAGGUUGUUUAAAAAGUAUUCUGUCAAAGAUUAGGGCUUAACCCUAGAUAGGCAGAAUAAACUUUUAAGCUAGAGUUUGGUAGAGGCAGAGGGAAUUCCCGGUGGAGCGGUGAAAUGCGUAGAUAUCGGGAGGAACACCAAAGGCGAAGGCACUCUGCUGGGCCAAUACUAACACUGAGAGACGAAAGCGAGGGGAGCAAAUGGGAUUAGAAACCCCUGUAGUCC